Molecule: transfer RNA, 73 nt
Filed under: Heterocephalus glaber (naked mole-rat)
Lineage: Eukaryota; Metazoa; Chordata; Mammalia; Rodentia; Bathyergidae
Rfam family: tRNA
About the family: Transfer RNA (tRNA) molecules are approximately 80 nucleotides in length. Their secondary structure includes four short double-helical elements and three loops (D, anti-codon, and T loops).
Source: Rfam by way of RNAcentral
GUCCAGCUAGCUCAGUCGGUAGAGCAUGAGAUUCUUAAUCUCAGGGUCAUGGGUUUGAGUCCCGUGUUGAGUG